AGUCUGGAGUGAAAGGCGACGGCUCAACCGUCGACGCGCUUCGGAAACUGGGGGACUUGAGGGCAGGAGAGGCGAGCGGAAUUCCCGGUGUAGCGGUGAAAUGCGUAGAGAUCGGGAAGAACACCAGUGGCGAAGGCGGCUCGCUGGACUGGCCCUGACGCUGACGCGCGAAAGCGUGGGGAGCGAACGGGAUUAGAUACCCCGGUAGUCCACGCCGUAAACGAUGGGCACUAGGUGUGGGAGGUAUCGACCCCUCCCGUGCCGGAGUUAACACACUAAGUGCCCCGCCUGGGGAGUACGGCCGCAAGGUUGAAACUCAAAGGAAUUGACGGGGGCCCGCACAAGCAGUGGAGCAUGUGGUUUAAUUCGACGCAACGCGAAGAACCUUACCCGGGCUUGACAUCCCCGGAACACCCGAGAGAUCGGGUGGCUCUACGGAGCCGGGAGACAGGUGCUGCAUGGUUGUCGUCAGCUCGUGUCGUGAGAUGUUGGGUUAAGUCCCGCAACGAGCGCAACCCUUGUCCCGUGUUACCAGCGUAAAGGCGGGGACUCACGGGAGACUGCCGGUGACAAACCGGAGGAAGGUGGGGAUGACGUCAAAUCAUCAUGGCCCUUAUGUCCGGGGCUACACACGUGCUACAAUGGCCGGCACAGCGGGAUGCGAAGGGGCGACCCGGAGCGAAUCCCUGAAAGCCGGUCCCAGUUCGGAUCGCAGGCUGAAACCCGCCUGCGUGAAGCCGGAA
Molecule: ribosomal RNA, 743 nt
Filed under: uncultured Bacillota bacterium
Lineage: Bacteria; Bacillati; Bacillota
Description: bacterial SSU rRNA
Rfam family: Bacterial small subunit ribosomal RNA
Source: RNAcentral